This 751-nucleotide ribosomal RNA is filed under the name Arsenophonus endosymbiont of Bemisia tabaci. RNAcentral describes it as "partial 23S ribosomal RNA". It matches the Rfam family "Bacterial large subunit ribosomal RNA", at positions 150 to 769 of the family's 2925-position model. Lineage: Bacteria; Pseudomonadati; Pseudomonadota; Gammaproteobacteria; Enterobacterales; Morganellaceae. The record is from RNAcentral.
UCGUUUGAUGAAUUCAUAGUCAAUCGAGGCGAACCGGGGGAACUGAAACAUCUCAGUACCCCGAGGAAAAGAAAUCAACCGAGAUUCCCCCAGUAGCGGCGAGCGAACGGGGAGCAUUCCAGAGUCAGCAUCCAUAUUUGGCGCAAGAGAAGGGUCUGGAAACGCCGGCAAUAAAGGGUGAUAGCCCCGUAUCUGAAACGGUAAGUGUUGUGAACUCGAAGAGUAGGGCGGGACACGUGUUAUCCUGUCUGAAUAUGGGGGGACCAUCCUCCAAGGCUAAAUACUCCUGACUGACCGAUAGUGAACCAGUACCGUGAGGAAAAGGCGAAAAGAACCCCGGCGAGGGGAGUGAAAUAGAACCUGAAACCGUGUACGUACCAGCAGUUGGAGCUGCAUCACUCAAAUUGCUCGGCAGUUGAGUGGUGGCUUAGCAUCACAAUAGCAGCACAGGCUUUGACAACAAGGUUAGUCGCUUUUUUCACGCCGCAGCACAGUGUACCGAGAAGUACACGCGCAGCCGAAGUUAAAAAAGCGGGCAAGAUUGGCCGCAAAGACAAGCGGGACAUUUGAGGAUGGGGUGACUGCGUACCUUUUGUAUAAUGGGUCAGCGACUUAUAUUCUGUAGCAAGGUUAACCGCAUAGGGGAGCCGUAGGGAAACCGAGUCUUAACUGGGCGUUAAGUUGCAGGGUAUAGACCCGAAACCCGGUGAUCUAGCCAUGGGCAGGUUGAAGGUUGGAUAACACUAACUGG